RNAcentral lists this transfer RNA (73 nucleotides) under Micromonospora musae. RNAcentral describes it as "Micromonospora sp. MS1-9 tRNA-Lys". It matches the Rfam family "tRNA". From Rfam's summary of the family: Transfer RNA (tRNA) molecules are approximately 80 nucleotides in length. Their secondary structure includes four short double-helical elements and three loops (D, anti-codon, and T loops). The record is from RNAcentral. Lineage: Bacteria; Bacillati; Actinomycetota; Actinomycetes; Micromonosporales; Micromonosporaceae.
GGGCCGCUAGCUCAGUGGUAGAGCCGCCGACUUUUAAUCGGAGGUGUCCAGAGUUCGAUUCUCUGGCGGCCCA